GACGAACGCUGGCGGCGUGCCUAAUACAUGCAAGUAGAACGCUGAAGAGAGGAGCUUGCUCUUCUUGGAUGAGUUGCGAACGGGUGAGUGACGCGUAGGUAACCUGCCUUGUAGCGGGGGAUAACUAUUGGAAACGAUAGCUAAUACCGCAUAACAAUGGAUGACACAUGUCAUUUAUUUGAAAGGGGCAAUUGCUCCACUACAAGAUGGACCUGCGUUGUAUUAGCUAGUAGGUGAGGUAAUGGCUCACCUAGGCGACGAUACAUAGCCGACCUGAGAGGGUGAUCGGCCACACUGGGACUGAGACACGGCCCAGACUCCUACGGGAGGCAGCAGUAGGGAAUCUUCGGCAAUGGGGGCAACCCUGACCGAGCAACGCCGCGUGAGUGAAGAAGGUUUUCGGAUCGUAAAGCUCUGUUGUAAGUCAAGAACGGGUGUGAGAGUGGAAAGUUCACACUGUGACGGUAGCUUACCAGAAAGGGACGGCUAACUACGUGCCAGCAGCCGCGGUAAUACGUAGGUCCCGAGCGUUGUCCGGAUUUAUUGGGCGUAAAGCGAGCGCAGGCGGUUUGAUAAGUCUGAAGUUAAAGGCUGUGGCUCAACCAUAGUUCGCUUUGGAAACUGUCAAACUUGAGUGCAGAAGGGGAGAGUGGAAUUCCAUGUGUAGCGGUGAAAUGCGUAGAUAUAUGGAGGAACACCGGUGGCGAAAGCGGCUCUCUGGUCUGUAGCUGACGCUGAGGCUCGAAAGCGUGGGGAGCGAACAGGAUUAGAUACCCUGGUAGUCCACGCCGUAAACGAUGAGUGCUAGGUGUUGGAUCCUUUCCGGGAUUCAGUGCCGCAGCUAACGCAUUAAGCACUCCGCCUGGGGAGUACGACCGCAAGGUUGAAACUCAAAGGAAUUGACGGGGGCCCGCACAAGCGGUGGAGCAUGUGGUUUAAUUCGAAGCAACGCGAAGAACCUUACCAGGUCUUGACAUCCCGAUGCUAUUUCUAGAGAUAGAAAGUUACUUCGGUACAUCGGUGACAGGUGGUGCAUGGUUGUCGUCAGCUCGUGUCGUGAGAUGUUGGGUUAAGUCCCGCAACGAGCGCAACCCCUAUUGUUAGUUGCCAUCAUUCAGUUGGGCACUCUAGCGAGACUGCCGGUAAUAAACCGGAGGAAGGUGGGGAUGACGUCAAAUCAUCAUGCCCCUUAUGACCUGGGCUACACACGUGCUACAAUGGUUGGUACAACGAGUUGCGAGUCGGUGACGGCGAGCUAAUCUCUUAAAGCCAAUCUCAGUUCGGAUUGUAGGCUGCAACUCGCCUACAUGAAGUCGGAAUCGCUAGUAAUCGCGGAUCAGCGCGCCGCGGUGAAUACGUUCCCGGGCCU
This 1369-nucleotide ribosomal RNA is filed under the name uncultured bacterium. Its description in RNAcentral is "bacterial SSU rRNA". It matches the Rfam family "Bacterial small subunit ribosomal RNA", at positions 28 to 1381 of the family's 1533-position model. The record is from RNAcentral.